GAUGAACGCUGGCGGUGUGCCUAAUACAUGCAAGUCGAACGGGCUCUUCGGAGCUAGUGGCGGACGGGUGAGUAACACGUUGGUACCUACCCCGAAGUGGGGAAGUAACUGCCCGAAACGGGUGGCUAAUACCGCAUAAUCCCGCAAGGGUAAAGCAGUAAUGCGCUUCGGGAGGGGCCGUGCGUCUGAUUAGCUAGUUGGUGAGGUAAUUGCUCACCAAGGCUACGAUCAGUAGCGGAUCGAGAGGUUGACCAGCCACACUGGGACUGAGAUACGGCCCAGACUCCUACGGGAGGCAGCAGUGGGGAAUC
This 311-nucleotide ribosomal RNA is filed under the name uncultured bacterium. RNAcentral describes it as "bacterial SSU rRNA". It matches the Rfam family "Bacterial small subunit ribosomal RNA", at positions 28 to 363 of the family's 1533-position model. The record is from RNAcentral.